Molecule: long non-coding RNA, 1626 nt
Organism: Pistacia vera
Lineage: Eukaryota; Viridiplantae; Streptophyta; Magnoliopsida; Sapindales; Anacardiaceae
Exons: 3
Source: RefSeq, a predicted model, not a curated record
UUGAAUCGAUUGGCAAAAAAUCACGUGAAUAGUAGAUGGUGAACAAUAACCAUGAACAAUAUUCUUGUCUGAAAUCAAAGAUAUUUGAAGGAGCCUCCAAACGUACGCUCUAGAAGUUGUACAGAUGAUGCUCAAUAUGACCAGUAAUAAAAGAAUUGAUGCUGAAUUAUUAGGGACAAUUAUGCUAUAGGUGGUGGUGAAUUUGGAGGUUUUGGCAACCAACAUGUAUCAACUUUUGGUGGGGGUGCUGGAGGAAAGGAAAAGAGGGUAGAAAGGGAAAAGACCAGCUGGGUGUUGCCUUUAUUUUUUUUAUUUUAUUUUUAUCUUGUAAAUUCUAGAAUCAUAAUGAAAUAGCCUUUUUUUUCUUGUUACUGUGUUACUGGAUUGUUGUUAUUCUUGCUUGUGACUGGCUUAUAUGCAUUGUGGGUUUGUUGUUGGGUUAUUUGUGCUCUUGGUUGUACGUUGAGUAAGGUCUGGCAUGGAAGGGUAUGGAAUUGCUGUUGAGUAAGGGUAUGAAGUUGCUGUUGAGUAAGGUUUGAAGCAUGGAAGGUUUGGUAGAAGGGUUGCUGUUGAGUAAGGUUUGAAGCAUGGAAGGUUUGGCAGAACGGUAUGGAAUUGCUGUUGAGUAAGGUUUGAAGCAAUGAAGGGAGUAGAAAGGAAGGCAUCUACAACAGGAGUAUCUUGAUGUUGCAAGGUGAUAUGGUCUUCAUCCCGUAUCUCUUGCAAUUGGUAUAACCUCUCUCUCUCUCUCUCUCUCUCUCUCUCUCUCUAUGUAUUUGUGGGAAUGUGCUGUCUUGAAAAUGUUAAUGGUCAUUUAUUUCUGUAACCUUUUAAUUCUAUUUUUGUGUCUCAUAUUUAAAAUAGUUUCUUGCUAAAAGCUGUUACAUUCACUGUUGAUCUACAAUUAUCUCAAUCAUGUAUCAUGGGGUGCUAAUCGUUUCAGGGUCUGGAUUUUAUCAUUUAGAACUAACAAGUAACAAAAUUGAAGUAGAAAGAUGGAGAGUCCAUGAGCCUAGUUUGCCAAAGAAUUGUUUUGAAGAACAAUAUUGACCAUGCCAGUAAAGAAGGUUUUAUGUCUGCUUUUAGUUGAAUAUAUAACUCUUCUCUUAGUUGAAGCCAUAUACAAAUGGAUAUCACUAAUGUUAAUUAUAGGUUUCAAGAAAUUUAUGCUCAUAGGCCUGUGUAUCUUUAUUGUGGAAGACUUGUGAUGUGUUCUUCUACUUAACACCCUUGUGUUAGCUGUUUUCUUGGAUUUGGAUUUAACAUUAUUUUCAUCUUGUGAUUUUUCAUGGGGAAGCAUUUGUUUUGAGACACCCUCUUGUUGCGAGUGCUGUAUUUGGAGCUACCAAGUCAGGCUAGCUUCAAGAGCUUAUAAAUGCAUGCCAAGUUAAGCUCACAGUCGAAAUUGUCACAGAAAUCAAUAGAACCCAUUCAAUGUUUCCUAAUUCAUGUCCCUAAUUUAUUUCCUUGGGCAGACCUGUACUUAUAUUGAUGAAAAGGACAAGGCAACUCCCUUGGAAGAAGCAUAAAUAGAACACAAUUUCCUUGUCUAGACUUUGUACUUUUAGGCUGCUGUUUUAUUAGUUGCCAAGCUAAUUUUAAUGAAUCAAAACACAAUUUUAAUGG